UGGAAAAUGGGCUGAGCCCCC
This 21-nucleotide unclassified non-coding RNA is filed under the name Chlamydomonas reinhardtii. RNAcentral describes it as "small RNA Cre_3211". The record is from RNAcentral. Lineage: Eukaryota; Viridiplantae; Chlorophyta; Chlorophyceae; Chlamydomonadales; Chlamydomonadaceae.